Molecule: ribosomal RNA, 291 nt
Filed under: Pseudomonas citronellolis
Lineage: Bacteria; Pseudomonadati; Pseudomonadota; Gammaproteobacteria; Pseudomonadales; Pseudomonadaceae
Description: partial 23S ribosomal RNA
Rfam family: Bacterial large subunit ribosomal RNA
Source: RNAcentral
GAGAUUUGAGAGGGGCUGCUCCUAGUACGAGAGGACCGGAGUGGACGAACCUCUGGUGUUCCGGUUGUCACGCCAGUGGCACUGCCGGGUAGCUAUGUUCGGAAUAGAUAACCGCUGAAAGCAUCUAAGCGGGAAACUAGCCUCAAGAUGAGAUCUCACUGGGAACUUGAUUCCCCUGAAGGGCCGUCGAAGACUACGACGUUGAUAGGUCGGGUGUGUAAGCGCUGUGAGGCGUUGAGCUAACCGAUACUAAUUGCCCGUGAGGCUUGACCAUAUAACACCCAAACAAUU